This 258-nucleotide long non-coding RNA is filed under the name Musa acuminata (dwarf banana). RNAcentral describes it as "long non-coding RNA (MACU_LNC009608)". The record is from RNAcentral. Lineage: Eukaryota; Viridiplantae; Streptophyta; Magnoliopsida; Zingiberales; Musaceae.
ACUGUUGAAUCUCGGAUUUUGAUGAUAUAAUCAAUUGGUGGGUUAAUUGAUCUAAUCCAUAUUAUUGAGUUAAGUGUGCAGGAUUAACUACGAUAACCAGCAAACAUAAAGCAAGGAUACCGGAGUCGAGCUCGAUGGACGUUUAAGAGACCGAAGAAUCAUCGGAGAUGCUGCCGGAACCAUCCGAGAAGAAAUCGGGAACGUGUCGGAAGUUCACCGAAGAAAUCGUCGGAGGCUCGCGGAGAUCACCGAUAAGGC